RNAcentral lists this unclassified non-coding RNA (334 nucleotides) under fungal sp. RNAcentral's name for it is "partial internal transcribed spacer region". The stretch from base 1 to 46 matches the Rfam family "Eukaryotic small subunit ribosomal RNA", at positions 1786 to 1831 of the family's 1831-position model. The record is from RNAcentral. Lineage: Eukaryota; Fungi.
AAGUCGUAACAAGGUCUCCGUAGGUGAACCUGCGGAGGGAUCAUUAACACAAGUGAGCAACACCAGUGACGGCACUCGAAAGAGCACCAAUGCUGGUGUUGACACUUUUCUCAACACCCAUCGAACGUGAACUACUAUGACCCUUUUUUUCCUUCGCAGCAGCGUCUCGCUUGCUGUGAUAUUUUCAUUUUUUGAAAUGAAACCCUUUCCAAUGUUUUUUUAACACUUGUAACUGUGCUGGAGCUGUACGUUAGUGCAAACUAGCGUGUGUGUCUCUCUGAACUAUUACGAACUAUAAUGAGUACAACUCUUAGCAACGGAUAUCUUGGUUCUC